GAUGAACGCUAGCUACAGGCUUAACACAUGCAAGUCGAGGGGCAGCAUGAACAUAGCUUGCUAUGUUCGAUGGCGACCGGCGCACGGGUGCGUAACGCGUAUCCAACCUUCCCGUUACUCAUGGAUAGCCUUCCGAAAGGGAGAUUAAUACAUGAUGGUGUUGAAAUUCCGCAUGUUAUUUCAACUAAAGAUUUAUCGGUAACGGAUGGGGAUGCGUGACAUCAGAUAGUAGGCGGGGUAACGGCCCACCUAGUCUACGAUGUCUAGGGGUUCUGAGAGGAAGGUCCCCCACACUGGAACUGAGACACGGUCCAGACUCCUACGGGAGGCAGCAGUGAGGAAUAUUGGUCAAUGGUCGGAAGACUGAACCAGCCAAGUAGCGUGAAGGAUGAAGGUUCUAUGGAUUGUAAACUUCUUUUAUACGGGAAUAAAACACCUUACGUGUAGGGUCUUGUAUGUACCGUAUGAAUAAGCAUCGGCUAACUCCGUGCCAGCAG
This 497-nucleotide ribosomal RNA is filed under the name uncultured bacterium. RNAcentral's name for it is "bacterial SSU rRNA". It matches the Rfam family "Bacterial small subunit ribosomal RNA", at positions 28 to 514 of the family's 1533-position model. The record is from RNAcentral.